GACGAACGCUGGCGGCGUGCUUAACACAUGCAAGUCGAACGGAAAGGCCCUGCUUUUGUGGGGUGCUCGAGUGGCGAACGGGUGAGUAACACGUGAGUAACCUGCCCUUGACUUUGGGAUAACUUCAGGAAACUGGGGCUAAUACCGGAUAGGAGCUCCUGCUGCAUGGUGGGGGUUGGAAAGUUUCGGCGGUUGGGGAUGGACUCGCGGCUUAUCAGCUUGUUGGUGGGGUAGUGGCGUACAAAGGCUGUGACGGGUAGCCGGCCUGAGAGGGUGACCGGCCACAAUAGGACUGAGGUACGGCCCAGACUGCUACGGGAGGCAGCAGUGGGGAGUAUUGCGCAAUGGGCGGAAGCCUGAUGCAGCAACGCCGCGUGCGGGAUGACGGCCUUCGGGUGAUAAACCGAUUUCGCCUUUGACAAGGAGUGAGUGACGGUAAUGGGUAAGGAAGCACCGGCUAACUACGUG
RNAcentral lists this ribosomal RNA (468 nucleotides) under uncultured bacterium. Its description in RNAcentral is "partial 16S ribosomal RNA". It matches the Rfam family "Bacterial small subunit ribosomal RNA", at positions 28 to 507 of the family's 1533-position model. The record is from RNAcentral.